AUUGAACGCUGGCGGCAUGCCUUACACAUGCAAGUCGAACGGUAACGCGGGGCAACCUGGCGACGAGUGGCGAACGGGUGAGUAAUGUAUCGGAACGUGCCCAGUCGUGGGGGAUAACUGCUCGAAAGAGCAGCUAAUACCGCAUACGACCUGAGGGUGAAAGCGGGGGAUCGCAGGACCUCGCGCAGUUGGAGCGGCCGAUAUCAGAUUAGGUAGUUGGUGGGGUAAAGGCUCACCAAGCCAACGAUCUGUAGCUGGUCUGAGAGGACGACCAGCCACACUGGGACUGAGACACGGCCCAGACUCCUACGGGAGGCAGCAGUGGGGAAUUUUGGACAAUGGGCGCAAGCCUGAUCCAGCCAUGCCGCGUGCGGGAAGAAGGCCUUCGGGUUGUAAACCGCUAUUGUCAGGGAAGAAAAGACUCCUGUUAAUACCGGGGGUUCAUGACGGUACCUGAAGAAUAAGCACCGGCUAACUACGUGCCAGCCGCCGCGGUAA
Molecule: ribosomal RNA, 498 nt
Filed under: uncultured bacterium
Lineage: Bacteria
Description: partial 16S ribosomal RNA
Rfam family: Bacterial small subunit ribosomal RNA
Source: RNAcentral